UGGUGCUUGCAUCAUGAUUUACAUUUGAGUGAGUGGCGAACUGGUGAGUAACACGUGGGAAACCUGCCCAGAAGCGGGGGAUAACACCUGGAAACAGAUGCUAAUACCGCAUAACAACUUGGACCGCAUGGUCCGAGUUUGAAAGAUGGCUUCGGCUAUCACUUUUGGAUGGUCCCGCGGCGUAUUAGCUAGAUGGUGGGGUAACGGCUCACCAUGGCAAUGAUACGUAGCCGACCUGAGAGGGUAAUCGGCCACAUUGGGACUGAGACACGGCCCAAACUCCUACGGGAGGCAGCAGUAGGGAAUCUUCCACAAUGGACGAAAGUCUGAUGGAGCAACGCCGCGUGAGUGAAGAAGGGUUUCGGCUCGUAAAACUCUGUUGUUAAAGAAGAACAUAUCUGAGAGUAACUGUUCAGGUAUUGACGGUAUUUAACCAGAAAGCCACGGCUAACUACGUGCCAGCAGCCGCGGUAAUACGUAGGUGGCAAGCGUUGUCCGGAUUUAUUGGGCGUAAAGCGAGCGCAGGCGGUUUUUUAAGUCUGAUGUGAAAGCCUUCGGCUCAACCGAAGAAGUGCAUCGGAAACUGGGAAACUUGAGUGCAGAAGAGGACAGUGGAACUCCAUGUGUAGCGGUGAAAUGCGUAGAUAUAUGGAAGAACACCAGUGGCGAAGGCGGCUGUCUGGUCUGUAACUGACGCUGAGGCUCGAAAGUAUGGGUAGCAAACAGGAUUAGAUACCCUGGUAGUCCAUACCGUAAACGAUGAAUGCUAAGUGUUGGAGGGUUUCCGCCCUUCAGUGCUGCAGCUAACGCAUUAAGCAUUCCGCCUGGGGAGUACGGCCGCAAGGCUGAAACUCAAAGGAAUUGACGGGGGCCCGCACAAGCGGUGGAGCAUGUGGUUUAAUUCGAAGCUACGCGAAGAACCUUACCAGGUCUUGACAUACUAUGCAAAUCUAAGAGAUUAGACGUUCCCUUCGGGGACAUGGAUACAGGUGGUGCAUGGUUGUCGUCAGCUCGUGUCGUGAGAUGUUGGGUUAAGUCCCGCAACGAGCGCAACCCUUAUUAUCAGUUGCCAGCAUUAAGUUGGGCACUCUGGUGAGACUGCCGGUGACAAACCGGAGGAAGGUGGGGAUGACGUCAAAUCAUCAUGCCCCUUAUGACCUGGGCUACACACGUGCUACAAUGGAUGGUACAACGAGUUGCGAACUCGCGAGAGUAAGCUAAUCUCUUAAAGCCAUUCUCAGUUCGGAUUGUAGGCUGCAACUCGCCUACAUGAAGUCGGAAUCGCUAGUAAUCGCGGAUCAGCAUGCCGCGGUGAAUACGUUCCCGGGCCUUGUACACACCGCCCGUCACACCAUGAGAGUUUGUAACACCCAAAGUC
RNAcentral lists this ribosomal RNA (1378 nucleotides) under Lactiplantibacillus plantarum. RNAcentral's name for it is "bacterial SSU rRNA". It matches the Rfam family "Bacterial small subunit ribosomal RNA", at positions 62 to 1428 of the family's 1533-position model. Lineage: Bacteria; Bacillati; Bacillota; Bacilli; Lactobacillales; Lactobacillaceae. The record is from RNAcentral.